RNAcentral lists this transfer RNA (86 nucleotides) under Plectosphaerella cucumerina. It matches the Rfam family "tRNA". From Rfam's summary of the family: Transfer RNA (tRNA) molecules are approximately 80 nucleotides in length. Their secondary structure includes four short double-helical elements and three loops (D, anti-codon, and T loops). Further hydrogen bonds mediate the characteristic L-shaped molecular structure. tRNAs have two regions of fundamental functional importance: the anti-codon, which is responsible for specific mRNA codon recognition, and the 3' end, to which the tRNAs corresponding amino acid is attached (by aminoacyl-tRNA synthetases). tRNAs cope with the degeneracy of the genetic code in two manners: having more than one tRNA (with a specific anti-codon) for a particular amino acid; and 'wobble' base-pairing, i.e. permitting non-standard base-pairing at the 3rd anti-codon position. The record is from Rfam by way of RNAcentral. Lineage: Eukaryota; Fungi; Ascomycota; Sordariomycetes; Glomerellales; Plectosphaerellaceae.
GCCCGGCUAGCUCAAUCGGUAGAGCGUGAGACUCUUACCAAAGGGAUCACAUCUCAAGGUUGUGGGUUCGACCCCCACGUCGGGCU